This 731-nucleotide ribosomal RNA is filed under the name Triticum aestivum (bread wheat). Its description in RNAcentral is "partial small subunit ribosomal RNA". The record is from RNAcentral. Lineage: Eukaryota; Viridiplantae; Streptophyta; Magnoliopsida; Poales; Poaceae.
CCGUGAGCGACCUAAGGGUGGGUUCAAUUGUUCGUUAGUACCUACCGUGCUGGGUUUAAACGUUCACCUUCUUUCUUAGCGGCGUCGUCGAUCACGAUCGGAUUAAUAGUCUGUAAGUCUGUCUAUCUUCGUGGUUUUUAUUCGUCUGUUAGCUCUCCCGCGAGCGGUCUAAGGGAGGGUUUUAGUUGUUCGUCGCGUAGUGUCCAAGUGCCGGUGUCCUUUAGUUAGUUAGUAGGUAGUCAAAUAUGUUUGUGCUGAACCUAAAGCUAAAUGUAGUUGUCUGCGCUGGAGAACCUUAGCCCAUGAUUUUGUCGUCGUACUUUCUUUACAUGAGACGUAGACGUCACCUCGCCCACGUCCUGUGCCUCGUCGUAGAGUUGGUUGGUUGGCCCCGCCCCCGCCUAGCCGCCCACCGAGUUAGUCGGCGCCGUCGCGCACUACCGCCUCGUCGGCGCCCUCAUCCCCAACCGGACCGGCGGCCCCGCCGUCAACAUCAUCCUCCACGGCGCGUCCCUCGUCCCGUGCAACAGGGAGGCGUCGCGCGGCAUCGACUACAUCGGCAACGGCGAGACGUCGUGCGCGGCGCGGUGGCGGAGCAGCGGCGGCCGCGGGCGCUUCUUCCCCUUUCACCUUGCCCCCCUACCCCCUACGAGACGAACGAAAGAACCCACGCCCACACCCCAAACCACGAACACGAACCGGAGACGGUGGCCGUUUACCCAAAUAUGAUC